This 527-nucleotide ribosomal RNA is filed under the name uncultured bacterium. RNAcentral's name for it is "bacterial SSU rRNA". It matches the Rfam family "Bacterial small subunit ribosomal RNA", at positions 18 to 518 of the family's 1533-position model. The record is from RNAcentral.
UCUGGUUCAGGACGAACGCUGGCGGCGUGCCUAAUACAUGCAAGUCGAACGGCUUUUCUAUGGAAGCUUGCUCCACUGAGAAGGUAGUGGCGAACGGGUGAGUAACACGUGGGUAACCUGCCCAUAAGAGGGGGGAUAACAUCCGGAAACGGGUGCUAAUACCGCAUAGUUUUCUUGGUCGCAUGAUCGGGAAAGGAAAGACGGCCUUUGUGCUGUCGCUUAUGGAUGGACCCGCGGCGUAUUAGUUAGUUGGUGAGGUAACGGCUCACCAAGACGAUGAUACGUAGCCGACCUGAGAGGGUGAUCGGCCACAUUGGGACUGAGACACGGCCCAAACUCCUACGGGAGGCAGCAGUAGGGAAUCUUCCGCAAUGGACGAAAGUCUGACGGAGCAACGCCGCGUGAGUGAAAGAAGGUUUUCGGAUCGUAAAACUCUGUUGUCAGAGAAGAACAAGUUGGAGAGUAACUGCUCCAGCCUUGACGGUAUCUGACCAGAAAGCCACGGCUAACUACGUGCCAGCCGCCGC